This 497-nucleotide ribosomal RNA is filed under the name uncultured bacterium. RNAcentral describes it as "partial 16S ribosomal RNA". It matches the Rfam family "Bacterial small subunit ribosomal RNA", at positions 28 to 507 of the family's 1533-position model. The record is from RNAcentral.
GAUGAACGCUGGCGGCGUGCCUAAUACAUGCAAGUCGAGCGAACGGACGAGAAUCUUGCUUUUCUGAUGUUAGCGGCGGACGGGUGAGUAACACUUGGAUAACCUACCUAUAAGACUGUGAUACCUUCGGGAAACCGGCGCUAAUACCGGACAAUAUUUUGAACCUCAUUGUUCAAAAGUGAAAGACGGUCUUGCUGUCACUUAUAGCUGGAUCCUCGCUGCAUUAGCUAGUUGGUAAGGUAACGGCUUACCAAGGCAACGAUGCAUAGCCGACCUGAGAGGGUGGUAGGCCACACAGGAAGUGAGACACGGUCGAGACUCCUACGGGAAGCAGCAGUAGGGAAUCUUACGCGAUGGGCGAAAGCCUGACGGAGCAAAGCAGCGUGAGUGAUGAAGGUCUUCGGAUGGUAAAACUCUGUUAUUAGGGAAGAACAUAUGUGUAAGUAACUGUGCACAUCUUGACGGUACCUAAUCAGAAAGCCACGGCUAACUACGUG